Molecule: ribosomal RNA, 435 nt
Filed under: uncultured bacterium
Lineage: Bacteria
Description: bacterial SSU rRNA
Rfam family: Bacterial small subunit ribosomal RNA
Source: RNAcentral
AACGCGAAGAACCUUACCAUCCCUUGACAUCCAGAGAACUUUCUAGAGAUAGAUUGGUGCCUUCGGGAACUCUGAGACAGGUGCUGCAUGGCUGUCGUCAGCUCGUGUUGUGAGAUGUUGGGUUAAGUCCCGCAACGAGCGCAACCCUUAUCCUCAGUUGCCAGCACGUAAUGGUGGGAACUCUGUGGAGACUGCCGGUGAUAAACCGGAGGAAGGUGGGGACGACGUCAAGUCAUCAUGGCCCUUACGGGAUGGGCUACACACGUGCUACAAUGGCGCGUACAAUGGGAAGCAAGCACGCGAGUGUAAGCGGAUCUCAAAAAGCGCGUCGUAGUCCGGAUCGGAGUCUGCAACUCGACUCCGUGAAGUCGGAAUCGCUAGUAAUCGCGAAUCAGAAUGUCGCGGUGAAUACGUUCCCGGGUCUUGUACACACCG